Molecule: ribosomal RNA, 721 nt
Filed under: Thalassiosira oceanica
Lineage: Eukaryota; Bacillariophyta; Thalassiosirophyceae; Thalassiosirales; Thalassiosiraceae
Description: partial Bacterial large subunit ribosomal RNA
Rfam family: Bacterial large subunit ribosomal RNA
Source: RNAcentral
CCACCCUGGUGUGUUUGAGGUUCUAACCUUGGCCCGUGAUCCGGGUUGGGGACAGUGUAUGGUGGGCAGUUUGACUGGGGCGGUCUCCUCCCAAAGCGUAACGGAGGAGUUCGAAGGUACGCUAGUUACGGUCGGAAAUCGUGACGAUAGUGCAUUGGCAUAAGCGUGCUUGACUGCGAGACUGACAAGUCGAGCAGGUACGAAAGUAGGACAAAGUGAUCCGGUGGUUCUGUAUGGAAGGGCCAUCGCUCAACGGAUAAAAGGUACUCUGGGGAUAACAGGCUGAUACCGCCCAAGAGUUCAUAUCGACGGCGGUGUUUGGCACCUCGAUGUCGGCUCAUCGCAUCCUGGGGCGGUAGUACGUCCCAAGGGUUGGGCUGUUCGCCCAUGAAAGCGGUACGCGAGCUGGGUUCAGAACGUCGUGAGACAGUUCGGUCCAUAUCCGGUGUAGGCGUUAGAAUAUUGAGAGGAGCCUUCUUUAGUACGAGAGGACCGAGAAGGACAUACCUCUGGUGUACCAGUUAUCGUGCCAACGGUAAACGCUGGGUAGCUAUGUAUGGAGUGGAUAACCGCUGAAAGCAUCUAAGUGGGAAGCCCACCUCAAGAUAAGUAUUCUCAUCACGUAAGUGAGUAAGGUCACGGUAAGACUAACCGUUUGAUAGGCAUUAAGUGUAAGUACAGUAAUGUAUGUGCUGAGAUGUCCUAAUAGACCGAGGACUUG